This 1440-nucleotide ribosomal RNA is filed under the name Acropyga acutiventris. RNAcentral's name for it is "16S ribosomal RNA". Lineage: Eukaryota; Metazoa; Arthropoda; Insecta; Hymenoptera; Formicidae. The record is from RNAcentral.
AGAGAAGAUUUAUUUAUUUGAGUUAAAUAAAAUUAUACUAAUGAUGGAUUAAUUUUAGGUUUCAGUAUUUUUAAUUAAAAAUAAUUAUUUAAUUUAUAAUUAUAGUAAUGUAAAUGAAUAUUUAUAAUUUAAUAUAAGUAAUUUUAUUUUAAUGUACCUUUUGUAUCAGGGAUUAUUUAAAUUGUUUUUUAUUAUUUAAUAUUUUUCGAAGAGAAAAGAGUUAAAUAAUUAUGAAAUUUAAUGUUAAAUAAUUAUUUUUAAUAUUUAUUUAGUGGAGAUAUUCUAUUCAAUUUUUUGGAUAUCUAUUUUUUUUUGAUAUAAAUUUAAUUUAUAUAUAAAUCUUAUUAUUUUAAUAAUUUAAACAUUAAAUUAAUUGAUUUAUAUAAAAAAUUUAUGGGAUAAUCUAUAAGUUAUAUUUAAAAUAAUUAAUUAUGUAUUUUAAUGAUAAAAGUAUUUUUAAGAUUAAAAUUUUUUUGUGAGUAUUUAAUAAUUCAUAAGGUGGUUUUAUAUUUUAAAUUAAGGAUUUUAUUUUUAUAUUUAAUUUUAUAGGAAAAUAUUUUUUAAAAAUUAAAUUUAAUAAGAAAUAAUGAUAAUAUUAGUAUUAUUUUAUUAAAUUUAUAUUAUUAAUAAUAUAUUUUUAAGUAUUUUUAAGGAAUUAGGCAAAAUUAAGUUUAUUAUUAAUUUAAUUAAUAUAUUUAUAAUAAGAUUAAGUUCACCUGUAUAAUAAAAACAUGGUUUUAAGUUAAAUAAUUUAAGAUUUGUUCUGCUCAAUGAUUUUUAAUUAAAUAGCUGCAGUAUUUUUGACUGUACAAAGGUAGCAUAAUCAAUUGUCUUUUUAAUGGGGACUUGUAUGAAGGAAUGGAUGAGAUUUAGGCUGUCUCAAUAUUAUAAUAAAAAUUUAUAUUUUAAGUUAAAAUACUUAGAUAGAAUUAUGGGACGAGAAGACCCCAUAGAAUUUUAUAUAAAUUAAUUUUUUUUUAUUUUUAAAAUUUUUUAUAAAAUUAUUUAUAUUUUAUUGGGAGGAUAAUUAAAUUUAAUAAACUUUUUUUAAAAUUUUAAUAUUUAUUUUUUAAUAUGAAUUAAAUUAUUUUUAAAUAAUAAAUAUUUUAAACAUUAAUUAAUGAUUUAUUUAAUGAAUAGAUAAUGAUAUUUUUAUUUAUAAUUAGAAUUAAUUACCUUGGGGAUAACAGCGUAAUAUUUAUUUUAAGUUCUUAUUGGUAUAAAUGAUUGCGACCUCGAUGUUGAAUUAAAAUAAAAAUUAGGUGAAGAAGCUUAAUUAUUAAGUCUGUUCGACUAUUUAAAUUUUACAUGAUUUGAGUUUAGAUCGGUGUAAGCCAGAUCGGUUUCUAUCUAUAAUUAAUUUAUUUAAUUUUGUACGAAAGGACUUUUUAUAUAAAAUAAUUUUUAAUAAAAGAGUAUUAAUUAAUUUUAAUUUUUAGA